GGUGCGCUCGCAGCGCGCCCGGACCAUCGACACAUUCUUACAAUACGAAUUCCUCCACCGUGCCAUACUAAACUACGCAGAGUUGCACAAUCUACUAGAGGACAGUUAAACCUCCGAUACGUCGUGUCAGGUACAUGAGAAUCUAUGGUGGUAGAAAUAAGAGCUGUUUUCAUACAAACCGUGCAACAGGGAUAUAUAUAAAUUAAAAAAAAAUCCGUUGUAAGAUUUUAUAUUAACCAAAGAGUUUCACACGCAAUUGUUUAGAUUAAAAAAUCGGAUCGCACGUUUUGUAUGAAAACAUCGCUUCGUUGUAAUGUGAAACUUAUCGGGCCUAUAUUUAAGGAUGUUUUUCCUUUGAAACAAUUCUCAAUUUUGCUACCAAACACUUUUAUAUUAGUCGGAUGUGAUUAUGCAAUAAAGAUAUAAAACCAAAUUUAAAAUAAUCAAAAUACAAUACGUAUUAUAUUUAAGUUAAAACAACUUAUAUAAUAAUUGCUAUUUAGGACCAGGAUAAUGAAUACAAAAAAAUGUGGCAUGUAUUUCGUAAAUCAUUGCUUCCUUAGCGUUUAAUAAUAAUAAUAAUUUAAAUUAUACCAACUUAAUAUUUCGACAUGGAGUUUUUUUUUACAAAUCCCAGUUUUGUCCUAGAUUGCAUAAUCACGUCCAUUGUAAGUGUAGGUUUUGUAUAUUUGGUGUAAUUUUUAUUUCAUAUAUUUCUUUCGUACGUCUUCGCCGCCUUUCCCCGCGAUGUUUCUAAAACGUGUGAAUUAAUUUAAUAUUAUUAUUAUUUUAUUAUCCUAGUAGGUGCUUCAAUUGAUUUAAGACAUUUAUUUAGUGACAAAAAUAUUUUUAAUUUUUAUUUAAUUGUGUGCCGGCAUUGUACAAAACGGUAAACGUGUUCGAAAUUCAAAAUUAAAUGAAAAAAUACUUUUUUUUUGUGACGACAAACUUUAUGCAGUGAUUCAGCCCAAUUUUAUUUUAUUUUUUUAAUUGUAUAAGUUUUAUUUUGUUUCGCACGUGACUGAUUCCAGAAUUAAAAUUAUAUUGUAAAACUUAAUACAAAUUGUACACUGCGGGCGCACAUAUUGUUUUAUCUCAAUGUUAUUUUAAUUAUUAUUUUUUAAUUACAAUGUUAUAAUCUGUGUACAAAGACAAUCACCGUGUUUUUUUCUAACUCAAAUAUAAGUGAAUCUAGUUGAUAGUUUUGUACUGAGAGUAAUGACGCGUCGCUUUUGCUUGUUAUAUUUUCGUGAUGUCCAAAAAUACGACAUUUUUAAUGUAACGACAAUUGUAUUUUUUGAUGUCCGUUGGUAAUGAGUUUUCCGAACGAAUUUGAAUUUUGAACAAAUAUUUAAAUAUAUCUUGAUAUCAAUGAAACAUAGUAAAAAUGACAGCAGUAAUGCAGACUUUGACUUCGCAGAGAUGUAAUCGGCACAAAUAUAAAUUAGGCUAUUUUAUGUUAAUUUCAAUAAGAUUAAAAGCUACUGCCAUAAUAUUAAGGAAUAUAGGGCUGUCACCACUCCUCAAAUGUCAUCAACGUAAUAUCAAAGUUUUUGGUUUUAAAGGCCUUAAUUAUUUUUUUAUAAAAUUACAUCAUUAAAUGCAGUACAAAAAAAUUCGUUCGGAAAACUCAAAAUCGCAAAAAAAAAAUCACAAGCCUAGUUAUAGAUCUGUUUUGCGUAGGUGACCCUGUACGACGGUAUUGAUAACAAUACCAAAUAUGAUAACGUGUCCAAAGAGAAAACGAGCGUUAGUAUUAUAUCACUGAAAUAAAAAAAUGAUGAAAGAAGUGUAAAAGUAAAAAGAAUUCUAUGUAUUUAUUUUGAUAACUAAAGAGGCCAUAUUUUAUUGCAUUUUGAUAACUUUCACGUUUUUUAAUUUUAUUUUGUAUAUCAAUAGCAAAGUUAUUCGGUAAUGGUUUUAUGAAAACCUAUUAAGGAUUACAGUUAAGGCCAAAUAAAUGUAAUACCCCAAAAUUUAGCACAAAUUUUUAAAAGGCUCGUGCACAUAUCAAUGUUGUUUGACGCAACGAUCUUUUGUCGCAGUGAAAUAUGUAUGGGAAUGUGUAUGAGGCUUAAGAAUUGUUUGAAUGUGCACGGUCCGCGUCUCACAAUUUUUGAUGUAUUUACUAAAUUUUCGUUUUAGAAAUUUUGUUUUUUUUUCUCCCUUUUGACAACGUGCAAGUGAUUAUUGUCUUGUACGGUGGACUGUCUAACGUAUUUGUAGUGUAAGCUGUAUGUUUAGAUUUUGUAUGAGCUAAACGAAAUAUACAAUAUGUUGACGUUGGGUGGGUGAUGUCGGGUUGCGAUGUUUGUAUUGGUCCAAGUGAUUAUUCUAAAUUUUAUUUGUAGUUUUACAUCCGUAUUCUCAUACGUUAACUAAGUAUUAAUAAUCCUAUACUAAAUAAUGUUUUUUCGGCAUGAAAGCCAUCGCCGUGCGCAUGCGCAUAUACGGUGCUCUUAUUGGCUAUUGCGAUAAAUAAUAGGCAGACAACUAUGGAAUUGUCAAAUUGCACUCAACGCACUAUGAGUUCUCGUAGUUUUGAAUACGGUUGAUAAUACAAUACAAAUAUUGUCAUAAACAUGUACUAUAAUUCCUUGUUCCUAUAUGUUGCCAAUAAAAUAUAUUAAUUGAAUUAUUUAAAUAAAUUUUCAAACACAAAAACACUAUGACAUAUCUUAUAUAACUGCCAAUACAAACAUAACAACACUUCCAUACAUUUGUAUGUAUGUCGUCCAGUAUGUAAUGCCGCGGAGGUCGUUUUCAGACCCAAUUUAUGAUAAUACGGGACUAGCGCGCGCUUCCCGUUCGUAACAAAUAUGUUGUGUUCAAUUACUAUUCCUAGUCUUGAGAGAUUUUUUUAUAUCUAUUUGUGUUGUAAUGCUACCCACCUUUUCCGGUUUUGCAGCGUGAAUAUAUGCUUUUAUUCCUAAGCUUUGUGUACAAUACUUGGGUGUUGUUACAAGCGAUAAAAGGCAAUGUUACCGCACAGGACAAACCUUAUAUCUUUGAGUUUGAACUUAACCUCGUUACGAUUAAAGUUCCAUUUCACAUCACCGUCUCUUAUAUAUUCGUAUAGGCACGGAAAAAUAUAACAGAACAGAAAAUUUUCAUUAGAUUUUCAACUUAACCUUCUUACGAAUGAAGUUCCUUUUCAAACAUCUCACCGUCUCUGAUCUCCCGUAAUGUGUUCAAGUAUGGACGGGAAGCGCGGCGGUCACCAGUGCGACUGAUUCGAGUGCGUUGGUUUCUAGCUUUUUUAUAUUAAUAUGAAUGGAUGGUAAUGUUUAUUAGCAACGAUUAAGUGAAAAGAUAUAGCUGUCAGCCAUUCAGGUAAGGAAAGAACAAUGGCGGUCUGCCAUGAAAAAUUUUUGGUAUAUUUUGAGUGUGUGAACGAAAUAUAUUUUAAAAUUCAAAUUUCGAAUCCCUGAGCAAAUUUUGUCGUAUUACUAUUGUUUUAUCAACUAAAGAAGAUUCUAAUAUGUACCUAUGUAUUCUCAAAUGCUUAAAAAACUUGGAUAAUUUAAAAAAAUAUUAUAAUAUAUUCUAAUAAUUAUUAAUAGACGAUUGCUUGAUUUAAUGACGACAUACAGAGGUGACAUGACGCCUCCAUGCAAAAUCAAAUAAACAUAAAAAAUAUUUUUUUAUAGGCUUAGAUUCGUUUAGAAAUUGUAAGAAAAUUACUUAUUUGUAACAAUGAUAUUUAUAAACACUUGAGAAUUCCAUGAACGAAUAAUUCGCCAUUCUUUAUGAAUGCUAAACGCAGUAACAAUGGGUUGUUUAUUCAUCUUUUGUGUUUGUGUUGUCUCUGUCGUCCAAUAGUAGUGUGAAAGAGACAUUCCCGCCCUCGCACCCACCACUACAACCCCUGUAACCCAGGAUCAACAGUGGCACGCAUUUUAUGACACCGAGCAGUGAAGCUCGGCGAGUCUCACGAAACACUAAUUUGUGCUGUUUGAAGACCACCGUCAGUGUAAAUUCAGCAUUCUAGGACAGUAUUAUGAUAUCUUUGUUUAGUCCAAUCCAGGUCUUUUAUAUAACCAAUCACUGUUUACUGACUGCAACAACUUGCUCAAUUGCAUAAAAAACUCAUUAUAUUAAUUGCAUAUUUGAAAAAAUCCUUUUUUUUAUAUACAAUGCUAGUUUUUACAUAUUUGUGGGUUAGGCCACUUUGAUCUAUCGACUGACAGUGUCCCCUAAACAUGAAACGCAUAAAUUAUAAAUAAAUUUUGUAAAAUUUGAUCUAAUAUUAUAGAUAAUUUGUUGCUAAUAAACAAUACUUAUUUGUGAAAAUGUAACUAUGUUACUUUUUAUAUUAAAUAAAUAUAGAUAGUAAGUUAGGCUAGAUGAAGAAAUCGGUGACAAAUAAAGAAAUUGCAGCGAGAGAUUGCAGUGAUUUGAGUUUAGGGACGUGUUGGUGACAUUUUUAUGAUGAUAGUGAAUAUAAUUUUUUUUGAACCUCUCUACGAUAAAAAUAAUUAAUAUUAUUAAGCAAUAAAAAGCUGAUUUUUUUAUAAUUAAUUGCGUGUACCUUUGAAACUUUUAUGAUUACUUCUUUACAACGGUUUCUUUUUUCUUGGAUCUAGUAAAAUAAAAUAAAAUAAAAAUUGAUUAGAAUGUACAGAAAAAUAUUCUGAGACGUAAGGGCCGGAUUUGACAAACAUUUUGGGGGCUACAUACUUAUCUAACGCGCACGUUCAUCGCUUCCAAUCACUUUUAUCUCUCGCCGCGUUUCGACAAACUCCUAUGUGGGGUGCAAAAUUGUUAUAGAAUGAAAACACGCUCAGACCGCUUUUAAAUAUACCCAUGUGCUUUUAUGAUAAGUAUUUUGAAAGAUUUAAUUAUUUGUGUUUGUGUAAGAUCGUUUUUAUAUAACUUAAUGUCUAUAAAGUUCGAAUUUACGAUGAAAAUAUCAUUACAAUAAGUGUAUGGCAGAUCCCAUUAUCAAUAUAGAAAAUUGUGCCCAUAUUUGACUCUGUCAAGUUUUGUAAACGUCUUAUACGACAAACUAAUACACAAAUAUUUCCAAUAUAAAUAAUAUAUUCAUAUUCUCAUAUUUCUUAGAGCCCAAUUUAAACUUAUUAAGACCUCCCAUUCAUGUGCUUGAAUUUGGCCCUGACUAUAUAGUCCAAAGACAAUGUUUUAUAUUAAAUAAACCACAGACAUUAAAUUCUAUAAUAACGUGACAAAUAAUUUAAUUAAAUAUUUUUUAUUUAAUUUUGAAUAUUGUAAACGGAUUCGUGUUAAGUUCCAGAACAACGCUUAUUUGUAAAUAUACCACGAAACACGGUAUCCCAAUGUUUCUUACCAUUAUUGUAUUUUUUUAAUUCAAUCAUAGAAGUAAGCGGUUGUAAUACUAAGUAUAUUACAUUUUUUUUUGUAAAUAAAUAAUGCAGGUCAAUGUAACAAUAUUUUUGAAAAUAUACCACUAUUUAGAAA
Manduca sexta (tobacco hornworm) is the source of this 5439-nucleotide long non-coding RNA. RefSeq lists it as uncharacterized. The record is from RefSeq and is a predicted model, not a curated record. The transcript is spliced from 2 exons. Lineage: Eukaryota; Metazoa; Arthropoda; Insecta; Lepidoptera; Sphingidae.